GUGCCAGCAGCCGCGGUAAUACGUAGGUGGCAAGCGUUGUCCGGAAUUAUUGGGCGUAAAGCGCGCGCAGGCGGUUUCUUAAGUCUGAUGUGAAAGCCCACGGCUUAACCGUGGAAGGUCAUUGGAAACUGGGAGACUUGAGUGCAGAAGAGAAGAGCGGAAUUCCACGUGUAGCGGUGAAAUGCGUAGAGAUGUGGAGGAACACCAGUGGCGAAGGCGGCUCUUUGGUCUGUAACUGACGCUGAGGCGCGAAAGCGUGGGGAUCAAACAGGAUUAGAUACCCCUGUAGUCC
This 292-nucleotide ribosomal RNA is filed under the name uncultured bacterium. RNAcentral describes it as "partial 16S ribosomal RNA". It matches the Rfam family "Bacterial small subunit ribosomal RNA", at positions 505 to 796 of the family's 1533-position model. The record is from RNAcentral.